GAGCGUAGAUAGAUAUAUAAGUCCAUAGUAGCUUGGUACUGGAUGGCUUUCCUCAUCUGACUUUGGUUAGAAGGGAAGCUGAGCAUCCGUACCAGUCCUCAUCAUUCAUUUAACAGUAUGGAAUUGAAAAAGGAGAUAGUGGCCAAGGCAGCGGAGGCCGAUAUGACGCUAAGCUGUGACGUUGUCCAACAUAUGGUCCGCAUCCAUUGUGCUCAUUGUGAUCUACGUACAGAAUACGUCCCCUAUAAGCUGAUGUAUGAACCCAUUAUGAGGACAAGGGGAGGAGGAGGGGGCGCAUUAGGUGAGUAUAGGUUCAAAAACACAUGACAUUUGGUAAGCGCUUUU
RNAcentral lists this small RNA (345 nucleotides) under Cryptococcus neoformans H99. RNAcentral describes it as "Cryptococcus neoformans var. grubii H99 hypothetical RNA". Lineage: Eukaryota; Fungi; Basidiomycota; Tremellomycetes; Tremellales; Cryptococcaceae. The record is from RNAcentral.